UAAAAAGAAGCGAUAAUCGCAUUCAGUUUCGGCCUGACGUUAGGAAACUCCCUUUUUAC
RNAcentral lists this transfer RNA (59 nucleotides) under Ogadenus brumpti. RNAcentral describes it as "Argas brumpti tRNA-Arg". The record is from RNAcentral. Lineage: Eukaryota; Metazoa; Arthropoda; Arachnida; Ixodida; Argasidae.